This 637-nucleotide unclassified non-coding RNA is filed under the name Tetilla hydrocotylifolia. RNAcentral's name for it is "sequence contains ITS1, 5.8S rRNA gene, ITS2". The stretch from base 244 to 400 matches the Rfam family "5.8S ribosomal RNA". Lineage: Eukaryota; Viridiplantae; Streptophyta; Magnoliopsida; Geraniales; Francoaceae. The record is from RNAcentral.
UCGAUUCCUGCAAAGCAGAACGACCCGCGAACUCGUCACCCGUCCCGGGGGGGGCGGAAGGGUAACUCCUCCCCGCCCUCCCGCUGCCGCAGGGGCGCGUCCUCCCGAGGGCGCGCUCCCUGCGGCCUAACAACGAACCCCCCGGCGCGAGAAGCGCCAAGGAAACAGAACGGAAGAGCGCGGGCCGGAUGCCCUGUUCGCAGCGCGCAGGCGUAACCCGCGCGAUUCUCCUAAAUUCUAAACGACUCUCGGCAACGGAUAUCUCGGCUCUCGCAUCGAUGAAGAAACGUAGCGAAAUGCGAUACUUGGUGUGAAUUGCAGAAUCCCGUGAACCAUCGAGUCUUUGAACGCAAGUUGCGCCCGAAGCCAUUAGGCCGAGGGCACGUCUGCCUGGGUGUCACGCACUCGUUGCCCCCCAAGCCCCGUCCGACACGGACGCGGGACUGUCGGGCAGACAGUGGUCUCCCGUGCGCACCCGUUCGCGGUUGGCCUAAAACCGAGUCCCCGGCGUCACGCGUCGCGACCAGCGGUGGUUGGUAACCCUUCGGAUCCCGUCGCGCGCCGGCUGCCGAAACGCGGGACUCUAGACCCACGCGUGUCAUUGCGAUGGCCGCUCAAUCGCGACCCCAGGUCAGGC